CUUUGAUUCUGGCUCAGGAUAAACGCUGGCGGCGCACAUAAGACAUGCAAGUCGAACGAACUUAACCAUUAGUUUACUAUUGGAGCGGUUAGUGGCGGACUGGUGAGUAACACGUAAGCAACCUGCCUAUCAGAGGGGAACAACAGUUAGAAAUGACUGCUAAUACCGCAUAUGCCUUGAGUAUCACAUGGUACAAAAGGGAAAGGAGCAAUCCGCUGAUAGAUGGGCUUGCGUCUGAUUAGAUAGUUGGUGAGGUAACGGCCCACCAAGUCGACGAUCAGUAGCCGGACUGAGAGGUUGAACGGCCACAUUGGGACUGAGAUACGGCCCAGACUCCUACGGGAGGCAGCAGUCGGGAAUAUUGCGCAAUGGAGGAAACUCUGACGCAGUGACGCCGCGUGCAGGAAGAAGGUUUUCGGAUUGUAAACUGCUUUAGACAGGGAAGAAACAAGACAGUACCUGUAGAAUAAGCUCCGGCUAACUACGUGCCAGCAGCCGCGGUAAUACGUAGGGAGCAAGCGUUAUCCGGAUUUAUUGGGUGUAAAGGGUGCGUAGACGGGAAAUUAA
RNAcentral lists this ribosomal RNA (567 nucleotides) under uncultured Bacillota bacterium. RNAcentral describes it as "bacterial SSU rRNA". It matches the Rfam family "Bacterial small subunit ribosomal RNA", at positions 11 to 586 of the family's 1533-position model. The record is from RNAcentral. Lineage: Bacteria; Bacillati; Bacillota.